AGCGAACGCUGGCGGCAGGCCUAACACAUGCAAGUCGAACGAACCUUUCGGGGUUAGUGGCGGACGGGUGAGUAACACGUGGGAACGUGCCUUUAGGUUCGGAAUAACUCAGGGAAACUUGUGCUAAUACCGAAUGGGCCCUUCGGGGGAAAGAUUAAUCGCCUUUAGAGCGGCCCGCGUCUGAUUAGCUAGUUGGUUGAGGUAAUGGCGCACCAAGGCGACGAUGAGUAGCUGGUCUGAGAAGAUGAUCAGCCACAUUGGGACUGAGACACGGCCCAAACUCCUACGGGAGGCAGCAGUAGGGAAUCUUGCGCAAUGGGCGAAAGCCUGACGCAGCCAUGCCGCGUGAAUGAUGAAGGUCUUAGGAUUGUAAAAUUCUUUCACCGGGGACGAUAAUGACGGUACCCGGAGAAGAAGCCCCGGCUAACUUCGUG
Molecule: ribosomal RNA, 434 nt
Filed under: uncultured bacterium
Lineage: Bacteria
Description: partial 16S ribosomal RNA
Rfam family: Bacterial small subunit ribosomal RNA
Source: RNAcentral